GGCAGCCGUGAAAGUUUUCAAGUGGCAUCACAGAGGAUAGCUGAAAAAUUCUGAAUUGUAGGUGCCAGCUUGUUGAGGUGGAAAAUGCAAAGAGACACUUUUAAUUUGGAGGUGAGAAGGCAUCUCUCACAGUUGGAUUUGGAGACCGAGAGAGAAUUAAGGAAGGCUUCUAGAGCUUGAGGGAGCCAAUUGUGAUUGUGAUCCAUCUAGUUUAUUUUCCUUUUUAAUUUCUAAGCAUUUUGUUUGUAGUUGGCCUUUAAAUCUGAACUGGUUGUUUAGUAUGAAGUUGAUGAAUCUUCAUAAUAAUGGGAACUGAGAGGUUUGGUUAUUGCUUCUUCAUUUUUGGGUCAUGCUCUUUGAUUAUGUAGAAAUAGAAAACCGUGUUUGAUCUAGGGAUUUUGUUGUGCUUUUGUACAUUAGUCUCAUGAUUUCAUUUAAGGAAUUAAGUUAUAUGAGAUUAAAAGGAUUCAUUGCCAAGGAAUUGAAUGUCAAUUACCGCAGCAAAAACUGAUCUUAAACUUGGGCAAAGUUGUUUGGACUAGGUGGAAAUUGGGUUGUUACUUCAACAAUCCGUAAAAUCAAAACUUAACUGUGACAGGUGUGAGCACUAUGUCCCUUCUUUGAGCAGAGUUGGCAAAUAGUGUUGGAGUAGGAAGAGAUAAGAUGCUUGCCAAAUAGUGCAUGACGAUCCACACGUCCUUUAGAGAAGAUGUGUGUGGUAGAACUUGUGCUUUUCUGGGAAUCAUGAUAUCCCUGUGACAUUUGGGAUAUAGUGAGACAUUUGGGCAUGCUUUGAGUUCAACAUCUCUGAUGAAGGACUUCUUUCUUUGUUAAAGGUAUCAUUGAGGAUGAAUGGUCACAAAUCCAAAAAUAAAUGUCGCAUUCCACAAUCUAAAGGAAGUAAGUGAGCUGUUGUUUCUUCCUCGAACCUCCUUCACCAUACAAAUCAUUCCAGUGCUUCAACUCAUUCAUUACAGAUCCUUCUGAUGCAAAACUUGCAGCCUCUUGCAUUUAAUCAGAUAUCCGUAGUGCGAUGACUGGAGUAUUUUCUACGUCUUUCUUUGUUUUGUUCCAAUGGAGUCGUGUAAGGACCAUAUUACUUAUAAAAAAAUUUCAUACUUAAUUGUUUUUUAUGUAAUGUGA
Glycine soja is the source of this 1143-nucleotide long non-coding RNA. RefSeq lists it as uncharacterized. The transcript has 3 exons. The record is from RefSeq and is a predicted model, not a curated record. Lineage: Eukaryota; Viridiplantae; Streptophyta; Magnoliopsida; Fabales; Fabaceae.